This 607-nucleotide ribosomal RNA is filed under the name uncultured bacterium. RNAcentral describes it as "bacterial SSU rRNA". It matches the Rfam family "Bacterial small subunit ribosomal RNA", at positions 395 to 994 of the family's 1533-position model. The record is from RNAcentral.
UGCCGCGUGUGUGAAGAAGGCCUUCGGGUUGUAAAGCACUUUCAGACGUGAGGAAAAGCUAAGUAUUAAUACUAUUUAGCCCUGACGUUAACGUCAGAAGAAGCACCGGCUAACUCCGUGCCAGCAGCCGCGGUAAUACGGAGGGUGCAAGCGUUAAUCGGAAUUACUGGGCGUAAAGCGCGCGUAGGCGGUUAUUUAAGUCAGAUGUGAAAUCCCUGGGCUCAACCUAGGAACUGCAUUUGAUACUGGAUAGCUAGAGUAUGGUAGAGGUGAGUGGAAUUUCAGGUGUAGCGGUGAAAUGCGUAGAGAUCUGAAGGAACAUCAGUGGCGAAGGCGACUCACUGGGCCAUUACUGACGCUGAGGUGCGAAAGCGUGGGUAGCAAACAGGAUUAGAUACCCUGGUAGUCCACGCCCUAAACGAUGUCAACUAGGUGUAUGGAACUUUAUGUUCUGUGUAUCGAAGCUAACGCGAUAAGUUGACCGCCUGGGGAGUACGGCCGCAAGGCUAAAACUCAAAUGAAUUGACGGGGGCCCGCACAAGCGGUGGAGCAUGUGGUUUAAUUCGAUGCAACGCGAAGAACCUUACCUGGUCUUGACAUGUAGCGA